RNAcentral lists this ribosomal RNA (774 nucleotides) under uncultured Neocallimastigales. Its description in RNAcentral is "partial large subunit ribosomal RNA". It matches the Rfam family "Eukaryotic large subunit ribosomal RNA", at positions 24 to 614 of the family's 3401-position model. The record is from RNAcentral. Lineage: Eukaryota; Fungi; Neocallimastigomycota; Neocallimastigomycetes; Neocallimastigales.
UAUGUGAUCGUCUCUCGCAUAUCAAUAAGCGGAGGAAAAGAAACUAACAAGGAUUCCCCUAGUAACGGCGAGUGAAGCGGGAAGAGCUCAAAUUUGAAAUCUUAAAGGGUUUCCCUUUACGAAUUGUAGUUUAAAGAAGUGUUUUCUGUUGAGGUUUUGGUAAAAGUUCUUUGGAAUAGGACAUCAUAGAGGGUGAGAAUCCCGUAUUUGACCUUUACUUUCAACUUUGUGAUACACUUUCAAAGAGUCGGAUUGUUUGGGAAUGCAGUCCAAAAUGGGUGGUAAAUUUCAUCUAAAGCUAAAUAUUGGCGAGAGGCCGAUAGCGAACAAGUACCGUGAGGGAAAGAUGAAAAGAACUUUGAAAAGAGAGUUAAACAGUACGUGAAAUUGUCAAAAGGGAAGCGUUUGACACCAGUGUUGUUUUUCUGAAAAUCAAUUAAAGAACUGUUUAUGCUAAGUUGUUUAGACUUUAUCAGCUAUCUGCUUAGUUUUGAGCUUUUCUUUAAUGCACUUUUCAGUUAACAAGUCAACAUCAAUUUCUUUUGCUGUAAAAAAGCUUGAGGAAGGUGGCUUGAGAUUCGUCUUAAGUGCUUAUAGCCUCUUGCCUAUGCAGUCGGAGAGAUUGAGGUCUGCAGCGUAGAUCCUUCGGGGCUAAAUGCAUUUGUGCUAAGUUAUAGCAUUUUAUAGACAACUUGUUGACUAUGAUUUGUCUUGUAGCUUACUCGCUUAUGUUAUUUUACCUACGCUUAGGAUGUUGAACGCGCACAGAGUCUC